Molecule: ribosomal RNA, 253 nt
Filed under: uncultured bacterium
Lineage: Bacteria
Description: partial 16S ribosomal RNA
Rfam family: Bacterial small subunit ribosomal RNA
Source: RNAcentral
UACGGAGGAGGCAAGCGUUAUCCGGAAUUAUUGGGCGUAAAGCGUCCGCAGGUGGCCCCUCAAGUCUGCUGUCAAAGACCGGGGCUUAACCCCAGAAAGGCAGUGGAAACUGAAGUGCUAGAGUGCAGUAGGGGUAGAGGGAAUUCCCGGUGUAGCGGUGAAAUGCGUAGAGAUCGGGAAGAACAUCGGUGGCGAAAGCGCUCUGCUGGACUGCAACUGACACUCAGGGACGAAAGCUAGGGGAGCGAAUGGG